Ailuropoda melanoleuca (giant panda) is the source of this 2901-nucleotide long non-coding RNA. RefSeq lists it as uncharacterized. The record is from RefSeq and is a predicted model, not a curated record. Lineage: Eukaryota; Metazoa; Chordata; Mammalia; Carnivora; Ursidae. The transcript is spliced from 3 exons.
UCUCUCCUGCCUCCCAGGGCCUUCCCCUUGUGCCCGCCUUAGAUAAAACCCUCGCAGAGCCUACCAAAACCUUGCUCUUUUUCCCUUGAAUUGACCAAUCCAGGCUUAGCCCAGAAACCCUGAAGCAUUCUACCCACGAACCCUAAGAGAGGCACGUGUCCCAGUUCUGGCCAUUCUCCCACCCUGCCUUGACCUCCCAGUGUGGUCCCUCCAGAUGCACCACGUACCUCCUCCAGGACUUACACUGUUCUAGAUUCUGGGAAUUCAACAGUGACCAAGACGACGCCCCUGCCCUCGUGGAUUUCAAAGAGUAGUGGAGAAGACAGAAAAACAGCAUGAACAACUAAAAAAAAAAAAAUCAGGUCAUCCAUCACUCACUGUUGAAAGUAAGCCUUGUGUUUUGAGUGCAUUUCCAGCCUACUGUGGAGGUUGGGAGGAUAGGUCACAGAGAGCCACAGCUGCCCCCUUCAGCCAGAGCUGAGGAGGGAAAAGGAGCUAUUUCUGACCAUCUCCCCCAUCAGAACCCAGAGGAAGAGGUCCAGCUCGGAGCAAGAAUUUCCCAUUCUGUUCUCUGUGGAGCAGCCAGAAGGAACUUCUCAAAAUGCCCAUCUGAUCAGGUCCCUUUCUUGUCUGUAAACCCCUUAAAAACCUUUACUGCCCAUGAGAUGAAUUCCACACCUUUUAACGAAAACUGCAUGGUUGGAUCUCUGAUCGUCUCUGUAUUUGCAACCCAUGCCUGUCCACGUCUUCGAGGGCCCCCUAAAUAGCAAUCCUCUUUCCCAACUAUGUUCCGGACAAUAAAGAGACAGGACAAAGGAGCAAGCAGAUGGAGACCAUUACGGCACCUGUGGUCAUGAUGAAAGCAGCUUGCAGGAUGUCGCCAGAAUCCGUGGGCUGGUGUGCGUCCGGGCUCUGCGCCCCCAAAUUAGGCAGACUUCCCUGGCCUGGGGGAGGCAAGUGCUGAUGGGCAGCCAGCCAUGGACAAAGCCUCUCCCUGUGGACCAGCGGAAAUCCAGGCUCACUGCGGGCAGCUUCCUCCCUAGAGCCAAGGAAGACAUUGAGCUGCCCCUGCCUGCCACCGAGGUCAUCCCUGCUCCAUCCCCAGGAAGGUAAGUGAGUGAGGCCCAGAAGGCCACAGAGAAUGAAGUUCCCUCCACGUGGGAGGAAACAUCAGGAGAGGCGAGGCACAGCCUGCUUCACACAGCCCUCGCUUGCUUCCCCACGCCAGCCAGGUUGUCUGGCUCCAGGUCCUCACACGCACCUCCCCUCCACCACACGCCCUUUGAGCGUAGUGUUCCUCUGCUGGAAUGUUCUUUGUGGCCCUCGUGGCCCAGUUAACUCGGGCCAUCCCUCAACUCUCAGCUGGCGCAUCAUGUCCCCAGGAAAGUCUUUCCUGCCUCCCCACCCCAAGACCUUGCCGCUCUCCUCCCAGGAGAGUUGUCAUCUCACACGGUGCGCGUCGUUGAGCUCAUCGGCAAGACUAUUCAUGGAACUACCUUCCUUCACAGGAGACUAGAAAAACAACUCUUUAGCUUUUUCUAUGGGAGUACAGGCAACGGGUCUGGAAACGGAUGCAAAACUGACCCAUCCCCACCUGCCACAACUACCUCAAUUAUCAGUCUGUCUUCUUAGUAGUCAGUGUUUGUGUGUCAGUCUCCCUCACAAACAAGGCAAAGGCAGAAAUGCCUUCUCACUCAUGCUUGUGUCUCCAAUGUUCCCGGUACACAAUAAGUAGGAGUUCAAUAAAAAAAUGUUUUACAGGAUUAAAUGUCUCAUUCCCCAGCUCCUGUGCUAGGGCUGACCCCUAGGAAAGAAACCAUUCUGUCUUUCAGAUGGGCCUCUUGCCCAGUCCCACAGCCCCACUGCUGACAGGAAUUGGCAAACGUGUGUAGGCUUCUGGGCUCGCAAUCUUCACAGAACCAUCCAGAAGUGCUGGAGUAGAGAAGAAGGCAGGAUGGGAUAAAUUACAGGAGUGUCUUAAAAAUUUCAGUACAACCCAGUCUUUAUUUGGCCUUGUUAGCAGAAAGAAAAUAGAUUUUGAGUGAAGAGACCCCAUUUUCUUCCAGUAUUUUCCGAUAACUAAGUAGGGUCUUAGGAAGUUGCUCCGUACACCGCCAGGCCACAAGAUCAUCAUCUGUAGAAUGAUGACCAUCCAGCCACAGGUCCUUAGGAGUCAGCUUCUUAAAACUGGAAGGGACACUAAUGCCUCCUUUUGAGAGAUUAGAAAAUUGGAUCCUAGGGAGGAAGAGUGAUUGACACCAGGUUUUCCAGCUAGAAUGACAUGGAGUUGUCUGAAUGAACAUCCACACGAACACAAGAGACAUGAUAACCACGUGAUCGUGAACUCCACCACGUUCUGCUGUGGCUGCUUGGCAUGGCUGCUGCUGACCGGAAGAGUCUCAAAAUACCUCCAGGCUGAGGCAUCACUGGCAUCCUCACUGACUCACCUCAAGGAUGCCGUUUUCUGGUACCCGAGAGCCAGAUUAUGUUGAGCCACAUGUGUCCCGAAAAAGUCUUCUCAUUCUUAUGUAUGUCAACAACAGCAGACAGGCCAGCAACACUGAGGUCAGAGAAUCACGGAGACUUUAAUUCGUCCUGGUGGGAAGUCUGGGCUCUUCACACCUGCACCGUUUCAUGCCCCCUCAGGUCUGGUCCAGUGGUGCCCGACCCCAGCGUGCCAGGAACCAAGACGGCAUGACCCAUUGAGAAAGCACAAAAGGUCCGAAAGCUACCCUGAGUUUGGCAAUGCUUCUCAAUAAAUUUGUAUUUUACUCAAUAAAAUGAAUUAUUCAUAUGUUUGCAAAACAGUAAUUUUAAGAAGAUGACUACUUAUCAGCCAUUUAGUCUAAAAGUCAAUGCUUGCUUCUCAUAGUUUGAGAACGACUGUUCUAAAAGUGAGCA